Dama dama (fallow deer) is the source of this 289-nucleotide long non-coding RNA. RefSeq lists it as uncharacterized. The transcript is spliced from 3 exons. The record is from RefSeq and is a predicted model, not a curated record. Lineage: Eukaryota; Metazoa; Chordata; Mammalia; Artiodactyla; Cervidae.
CCAGCAGCUAAAAGCAGAACUUGGCCUGCAGAGCAAUACUUCGGUCAGCUAUCGAAUGAAUGAAUAAAUAUUACCAGACGUCUCAGCUAAGCCAGCUGGCGCUCACAGGCCCUGGACCCGGUCCCUGUUCCUCUGGAGUCCGAGCUCUGAAACAGGCCCCAGCAAUCCUCCAAAACCCCGCGAGCUGAGCACUAACGGGGGCGGGGGCUGACAGGAGGCCCACAGGAGCCCGAGAGCGCAGGCAGUCAGGGAAGUUUCCCAAAGGAGGGAGCCACUAAAUGUGCAGCAG